Molecule: ribosomal RNA, 219 nt
Filed under: uncultured Fusibacter sp.
Lineage: Bacteria; Bacillati; Bacillota; Clostridia; Eubacteriales; Fusibacteraceae
Description: partial 16S ribosomal RNA
Rfam family: Bacterial small subunit ribosomal RNA
Source: RNAcentral
GAUGGAGGAAGGUGGGGAUGACGUCAAAUCAUCAUGCCCCUUAUGAUCUGGGCUACACACGUGCUACAAUGGCCGGUACAACGGGCAGCGAAGGAGCGAUCCGGAGCGAAUCUUAAAAGCCGGUCCAGUUCGGAUUGCAGGCUGAAACUCGCCUACAUGAAGUUGGAGUUGCUAGUAAUCGCGAAUCAGAAUGUCGCGGUGAAUGCGUUCCCGGGUCUU